RNAcentral lists this ribosomal RNA (284 nucleotides) under uncultured bacterium. RNAcentral describes it as "partial 16S ribosomal RNA". It matches the Rfam family "Bacterial small subunit ribosomal RNA", at positions 773 to 1060 of the family's 1533-position model. The record is from RNAcentral.
GUGGAUUAGAUACCCUAGUAGUCCACGCAGUAAACGAUGAUAACUGGGCGUAUGCGAUAUACAGUAUGCUCCUAAGCGAAAGCGUUAAGUUAUCCACCUGGGGAGUACGCCGGCAACGGUGAAACUCAAAGGAAUUGACGGGGGCCCGCACAAGCGGAGGAACAUGUGGUUUAAUUCGAUGAUACGCGAGGAACCUUACCCGGGAUUGAAAUGUAGAUGACCGCUCCUGAAAGGGAGUUUUCCUUCGGGACAUCUAUGUAGGUGCUGCACGGUUGUCGUCCACU